CGAGUAUUACCCUAUGGUCCCUGGAACCUAUAUUGUCACCAUCACGUGGGGUGGUCAGAACAUCGGGCGCAGUCCCUUCGAGGUGAAGGUGGGCACCGAGUGUGGCAAUCAGAAGGUACGGGCCUGGGGCCCUGGGCUGGAGGGCGGCAUCGUUGGCAAGUCAGCAGACUUUGUGGUGGAGGCUAUCGGGGACGACGUGGGCACGCUGGGUAAGUUGGAGGCUGCAGCAUGGGCACCUGGGGACAGACGAUGGCAAGGACGGCCCACCCUGAGGCUCCAGGGCACUGAGGGGACUGGUGGCUGUUGUCAGGUUUCUCGGUGGAAGGGCCAUCGCAGGCUAAGAUCGAAUGUGACGACAAGGGCGACGGCUCCUGUGAUGUGCGCUACUGGCCGCAGGA
This 398-nucleotide small RNA is filed under the name Pan troglodytes (chimpanzee). Its description in RNAcentral is "retained intron". The record is from RNAcentral. Lineage: Eukaryota; Metazoa; Chordata; Mammalia; Primates; Hominidae.